CAGUGGUGGGUGUAUCACGGUGCGGUCAGUGGUGGGGGUAUCACGGUGCGGUCAGUGGUGGGCGUAUCACGGUGCGGUCAGUGGUGGGCGUAUCACGGUGCGGUCAGUGGUGGGGGUAUCACGGUGCGGUCAGUGGUGGGGGUAUCACGGUGCGGUCCGUACUGGGUGUAUCAUGGUAAAAGAGCAUGGGAUAUUAAUAAUGGGCUAAUUUGGGUAAAAGAGCAUGGGAUGGUAAUAAUGGGCCGAGAGCAUGGGAUACAUGGUGUUUAUACAAAUAAUGUAAAUAGCAUAACCAUUAUAGUGUACUGUAGUGGAUAUGGUGCAGGGAGUGCCCUUGCACCCUCCUAGAGUAAGUAGUCUAACAAGGUUAUUCACUGAAGUGAGAAUUCAAAGUGAAUUUAAAACUUAAAGGGACACAAUCACCGUAACAACUACAGCUCAUUGUAGUUGGUCGGAUGGGUAUAGUCAGUCCCUGCAUGGUUUUUGCUGUAAACACUGCUUUUUCAGAGAAUAGGACGUGUUUACAUUACAGCCUAGGAACACCUCUAGUGGCCACUCAGAUAGCCACUAAAGGUACUUCUGGGGCAGUCCUGCUCAGUGCAGCACUGACAUUCAGCGUCUCCACGCCCCCCAUGGAGAUUCUGAACUUUUGCCAUAGAGAUGAAUUGAUUAAAUGCAUCUCUAUCAGGAGAUGCUGAUUCGCCAUGGUGAUGUUUGGCUCCGCCUUGUCUACUUGGCUGAGAUCCUCAGAAUUGAUGAUCUUAGCCAAUCAAAUGGUUUCCCAUGGGAAAGUAUUGUGAUUGGCUGAGAUAAUCAAUUCUGAUUAUGUCAGCCAAGGAGGCAGGUCAGGGGUGGACACAAGUGGCACUGAAAUUAAGUUAAAUUAAAUAGUGUUUUUAACACCAUAGGGUAGGUAAUAUACAUUUGUAUUCAAGACCCUAUAGAGUUUCCUUACGGUCAAAAUUGCUGGACUGGAAAUAUUCUCUAAGUCAGCUGUGCAUUUAACUUUGGCUACUUUGGCCUUAAAUGUAUUUUUAAUUCUGACUUUAGUAAAAACAACAACAGAUAUAGGAUGCAGAAAAGGAGAUUUCAUGGCAAGACAAACCUCUCCAUGGAGUGUACCACCAUCAUAUAGUGGAACUAGCUCACAUUACAAAAUCCUACCAGUAGUUGGAAAAGGCAGGACUGAAAGACAGCACUAAGGCACUAAUCCUAGCAGCACAGGAGCCGGCACUUAGAACCAGAUCAAUAGAAGUGGGUGUCUACCACACCAGGCAAAAUUAAAAGCGCAAACUGUCCAAAAAGCCCCUUGAGACAAUCCAGCAUAUAGUCUUGUAGAAUUUCCAGAGGACCUUGCGCACACACAUUCUCAGGGAGCAUUCCCACUAGGGUGCUCCAAAACAGGGACAGCCCCAGCCCAGACAAAUCAUGUGAAACAAAAAAGUAGGUUUGGGCACACCCAGUAGUUUCUUCAACAGGUAGACUUUAUUGUGGAG
This is a non-coding RNA of Pelobates cultripes (western spadefoot toad), 1496 nucleotides long. Lineage: Eukaryota; Metazoa; Chordata; Amphibia; Anura; Pelobatidae. The record is from the annotation of a GenBank genome assembly.